Molecule: small nuclear RNA, 182 nt
Organism: Cavia aperea (Brazilian guinea pig)
Lineage: Eukaryota; Metazoa; Chordata; Mammalia; Rodentia; Caviidae
Gene: U2
Rfam family: U2 spliceosomal RNA
About the family: U2 is a small nuclear RNA (snRNA) component of the spliceosome (involved in pre-mRNA splicing). Complementary binding between U2 snRNA (in an area lying towards the 5' end but 3' to hairpin I) and the branchpoint sequence (BPS) of the intron results the bulging out of an unpaired adenosine, on the BPS, which initiates a nucleophilic attack at the intronic 5' splice site, thus starting the first of two transesterification reactions that mediate splicing.
Source: Ensembl
AUCGCUUCUGGCCUUUUGGCUAAGAUCAAAUGUAGUAUCUGUUCUUACUGGUUUAAUAUUGUCCUGUUGGGUGAGGGGGAGUCUCCAUAUAAGGUGAUCGUGAUUUUUGCGUGCUCUGGGAUGAGGCCUGGUUCUAGAGGCAGUUUCCCUCUAACCAUUUGGAGAAGAGAAAUGGAGCCCUG